RNAcentral lists this ribosomal RNA (253 nucleotides) under uncultured bacterium. RNAcentral describes it as "partial 16S ribosomal RNA". It matches the Rfam family "Bacterial small subunit ribosomal RNA", at positions 524 to 776 of the family's 1533-position model. The record is from RNAcentral.
UACGUAGGGGGCAAGCGUUGUCCGGAUUUAUUGGGCGUAAAGAGCGCGUAGGCGGCCAUGUAGGUCCGUUGUGAAAACUCGAGGCUCAACCUCGAGACGCCGAUGGAAACCAUGUGGCUAGAGUCCGGAAGAGGAGAGUGGAAUUCCUGGUGUAGCGGUGAAAUGCGCGGAUAUCAGGAAGAACACCCGUGGCUAAGGCGGCUCUCUAGUACGGUACUGACGCUGAGACGCGAAAGCGUGGGGAGCGAACAGG